Molecule: ribosomal RNA, 1792 nt
Filed under: Phyllachora arthraxonis
Lineage: Eukaryota; Fungi; Ascomycota; Sordariomycetes; Phyllachorales; Phyllachoraceae
Description: SSU rRNA
Rfam family: Eukaryotic small subunit ribosomal RNA
Source: RNAcentral
CUGCGAAUGGCUCAUUAAAUCAGUUAUCGUCUACUUGAUGGCACCUUACUACAUGGAUAACCGUGGUAAUUCUAGAGCUAAUACAUGCUAAAAACCCCGACUUACGGAGGGGUGGAUUUAUUAGAUUCAAAACCAACGCCCCUCGGGGCUCUCUGGUGAAUCAUAAUAACUUUGCGGAUCGCAAGGCCUUGCGCCGGCGAUGGUUCAUUCGAAUUUCUGCCCUAUCAACUUUCGACGGCUGGGUCUUGGCCAGCCAUGGUGGCAACGGGUAACGGAGGGUUAGGGCUCGACCCCGGAGAAGGAGCCUGAGAGACGGCUACUACAUCCAAGGAAGGCAGCAGGCGCGCAAAUUACCCAAUCCCAAUACGGGGAGGUAGUGACAAUACAUACUGAUACAGGGCUCUUUUGGGUCUUGUAAUUGGAAUGAGUACAAUUUAAAUCCCUUAACGAGGAACAAUUGGAGGGCAAGUCUGGUGCCAGCAGCCGCGGUAAUUCCAGCUCCAAUAGCGUAUAUUAAAGUUGUUGAGGUUAAAAAGCUCGUAGUUGAACCUUGGGCCUGGCUGGCUGGUCCGCCUCACCGCGUGCACUGGUCCGGCCGGGUCUUUCCCUCUGGGGAGCCGCAUGCCCUUUACUGGGUGUGCCGGGGAACCAGGACGUUUACUCUGAACAAAUCAGAUCGCUUAAAGAAGGCCAAUGCUCGAAUGUUCUAGCAUGGAAUAAUGGAAUAGGACGCGUGGUUCUAUUUUGUUGGUUUCUAGGACCGCCGUAAUGAUUAAUAGGGACAGUCGGGGGCAUCAGUAUUCAAUUGUCAGAGGUGAAAUUCUUGGAUUUAUUGAAGACUAACUACUGCGAAAGCAUUUGCCAAGGAUGUUUUCAUUAAUCAGGAACGAAAGUUAGGGGAUCGAAGACGAUCAGAUACCGUCGUAGUCUUAACCAUAAACUAUGCCGAUUAGGGAUCGGACGGUGUUAUUUUUUGACCCGUUCGGCACCUUACGAAAAAUCAAAAUGUUUGGGCUCCUGGGGGAGUAUGGUCGCAAGGCUGAAACUUAAAGAAAUUGACGGAAGGGCACCACCAGGGGUGGAGCCUGCGGCUUAAUUUGACUCAACACGGGGAAACUCACCAGGUCCAGACACAAGUAGGAUUGACAGAUUGAGAGCUCUUUCUUGAUUUUGUGGGUGGUGGUGCAUGGCCGUUCUUAGUUGGUGGAGUGAUUUGUCUGCUUAAUUGCGAUAACGAACGAGACCUUAACCUGCUAAAUAGCCCGUAUUGCUCCUGCAGUACGCCGUAACAAGGUCUCCGUUGGUGAACCAGCGGAGGGAUCAUUACAAGAGCGGAUUAUCUCUGAACUCUUUCAAAAAACGGUCUUGUUGUACUUGCAGGCUGCUCUAAUUAGAGAGUAGCAGCUAUUUUAGCAUCUGCUUGGCGCGCAGGACUGGUACAUUGUUGGUUAAUCUGAGUAUUUGUGGGAAUUACAAAACUUUCAACAACGGAUCUCUUGGCUCUGGCAUCGAUGAAGAACGCAGCGAAAUGCGAUACAUAAUGUGAAUUGCAGAAUCCAGUGAAUCAUUGAAUCUUUGAACGCACAUUGCGCCCGCUAGUAUCCUGGCGGGCAUGCCUAUUCGAGCGUCUUUAAUACCGUCGGGUUGCCUCCCGGUGUUUGGGGCUUGCGGGUGUCCGCAACCCUUCAAAGGCAUUAGCAGGCUCGCUAUAUCUCGGAGCGCAUUAAGCAAUACCCGCUUACGGCGGUAUAGCCCAUGCUUGCUAGAUGGAUAUAAACUCCUGUAGACCUCG